Oncorhynchus nerka (sockeye salmon) is the source of this 1990-nucleotide long non-coding RNA. RefSeq lists it as uncharacterized. The record is from RefSeq and is a predicted model, not a curated record. Lineage: Eukaryota; Metazoa; Chordata; Actinopteri; Salmoniformes; Salmonidae. The transcript has 2 exons.
GGCGGAGAGGGUGGGGGACCUUUGGGCGGUGCGAAGGUGGCGUGGGAGGCGGUGAAAAAGAUCAACGUUUUUCAACUUUAUGCAAAUCGCUAGCGGCGACCGCUGGGCGAUGACCAAUCAUAUCGAUUGGUUCCCAUGACGAAUUUGACUCCGUGCGACCCAAGGCUGGAGACUUUCUUCAGCAAAGAUGGCUGACAAAAAUGCUAUGAUGGAAGCACAUGGACUCCUGAAACAACCAGCAAACCAGGCUGUCGUCUUGUGAAACAUGUAAUUGUCAAUACCUUCUGAUGUAAAGAAUCUAGCUAGCAAAAGCAUUUACUGCAAAUUGAAUGUACAAUUUUGUAUGCUUGCCUUGCUGAUAUUUGCCAUGUAAUGCAGAUAGAUGAAAUAACGUAGCUAGCUAUGUUCUUGUUUAUUGUGCAGUGGAGGAUUAAAAAAAAUACCUGUAUGCCUAUGGAUGUGUAGCUAGUUAUGUAGCCCAUCUGUGUAUGGUCCAUAAAACAUUUGGUAUAGAUAUUAGUUCAGAACCUAGCUAUGAACCUCAGCUAUCAUAACCAGUUCUAUCAACUUCAAAACAGUCUGAAUGACAUUAAUGAAACCUAUGGAUUACCAAAGUCUAAUGGUUUUAAAUGACUGCUUUGUAUUGUCUAGAAACUCACUUGUAGAUUUCGCUUGCAGUAGGUCUCUUAAAAAAGAGAAGCCGUGCAAGGUUAUACUUUUGUUCUUUUGUGCACCUAACCCUGGCCCUGAUAUGCAAUGUCUCCAAAUGUCCCCUCUGAUUUUAAAUCAAGAUCUGGUUUUGGUAUUUUUCAUUUAAAUGUACACAGCCUGUUGUCAAAAAUUGAUGGGGUUAGGAUUUGGGCUAAAUCAACUGAUGCUGAUGUAAUUGUGUUUUCUGAAACCUGGCUCAGCAAGUCUGUUUUUGAUAAUGAUAUUUGUAUUAUGGGUUACAAUGUUUAUCACACUGAUUGGGUUAAGAAAGGUGGGGGUGUGGCUAUAUAUGUAAAAACGAAAUUCCCUGUAAGUGUGGCAAAGUCUGAAACUAUUUGUAAACAGUUGGAAUUUCUUGCUUUGAAUAUUGAGGUUUCAAAGGGCUUCUCUAUAACUGUGAUUGGCUGUUAUAGACCCCCCUCUGCUCUCUAUAACUGUGAUUGGCUGUUAUAGACCCCCCUCUGCUCUCGGUGAUGCAUUUUCUUCUCUGAUGAACCUUAGGUCUAAACUUCUUUACAGUGAAAUGACCUUGAUUGGUGAUCUCAACUGGUGUUGGUUAAAGCCGGUGUCUGAUGAUUUAAAAAUGUUUUGUAAUUCUAUGAAUCUUACCCAGUUGAUUAACUCGCCCAAAUCUUAAAUGCCCAGAAAAAUCUACCCUGAUUGAUUUGAUAUUGACAAAUGUUCCACAUAAAUAUUCUGCGGUUGGUGUUUUUUGUAAUGAUUUAAGUGACCAUUGUGCUGUUGUUGCUGUUAGAAAUACUAAGGUCCCAAAGACAAACCCACGUUUUAUUCAUAAGAGAAAUUUGAAGUGUUUUAAUGAGCAGGCUUUCGUUCAUGAUUUGUUUUAUUUUAACUGGAGCACAAUUGAGCUUAUUCCUGAUGUGGAAACUGUCUGGAAAUUCUUUCAUGAUGGUUUUUCCCAAAUAGUAAACAAACAUGCCCCAUUCCGCAGGUUCAGGGUUAAAGGGCGGGAUAAUCCAUGGUUUUCUUCUGAGCUGUCUUGUAUUUUUCACAACUGUAAUCUAGCCUGGGCUAAAGCAAGGAAAUCAUGUUCUGAUGCUGAUUGUCUUAUUUUUAGGCAGUUACGAAACAAGUGUUCUUUUCUUCUCAGGAAGGCCAAGUCUGAAUAUUUUAUGUCUGUUACCACUGAUAACCUGAAUGACCCUAGAAAGUUCUGGAAGGCUAUUAAGUCUAUGUCUGGUAACAGUAAUGUUAAUGAAUUACCGUCAUGUGUUUUGAAGGUCUCUGUUGCUAUAUAUGACAAAACUGAAAUGCUGAA